CCUACGGGUGGCUGCAGUGAGGAAUAUUGGUCAAUGGGCGCGAGCCUGAACCAGCCAAGUAGCGUGAAGGAUGACUGCCCUACGGGUUGUAAACUUCUUUUAUAAAGGAAUACAGUGAGUCAUGUGUGCCUUUUUGUAUGUACUUUAUGAAUAAGGAUCGGCUAACUCCGUGCCAGCAGCCGCGGUAAUACGGAGGGUCCGAUCGUUAUCCGGAUUUAUUGGGUUUAAAGGGAGCGUAGAUGGGUUGUUAAGUCAGUUGUGAAAGUUUGCGGCUCAACCGUAAAAUUGCAAUUGAUACUGGCAGCCUUGAGUACAGUAGAGGUAGGCGGAAUUCGUGGUGUAGCAGUGAAAUGCUUAGAUAUCACGAAGAACUCCGAUUGCGAAGGCAGCUUACUAAACUGCCACUGACAUUGAUGCUCGAAAGUGUGGGUAUCAAACAGGAUUAGAUACCCGAGUAGUC
RNAcentral lists this ribosomal RNA (460 nucleotides) under uncultured bacterium. RNAcentral's name for it is "partial 16S ribosomal RNA". It matches the Rfam family "Bacterial small subunit ribosomal RNA", at positions 338 to 795 of the family's 1533-position model. The record is from RNAcentral.